Molecule: RNA transcript, 4544 nt
Organism: Corvus hawaiiensis (hawaiian crow)
Lineage: Eukaryota; Metazoa; Chordata; Aves; Passeriformes; Corvidae
Gene: KANSL1L
Gene name: KAT8 regulatory NSL complex subunit 1 like
Exons: 16
Source: RefSeq, a predicted model, not a curated record
GCCCCGCCCCGCCGCGCUGUGCUUUAGCUGGGCGCGGACUCGUCAAGAGCGGCAGUGUGAGCCGCGGUGGGCGCGGGGCUGUGCGGGCUUGAGCGGUGGCGCCGGCGCCCGUGUGGAGAUCCUGCCGGACGCGGAGGUUUGCUGUAAACUACCUGUCAUAGCUAUAAUGACACCAGCCCUCAGAGAGGCAACAACAAAAGGUCAUGGUAUCCACUUGUCACCUUCUUUGUCCUCUAGAGCUAUGGAGUCUGAUACAGCUUUGUGCAUGGAAAAUUCCAGAGCAGUGGAAGAGAAGAUAAAAGAGGACUCCAUCACACAGAUUACUUGCUCAGUCCUGGGGUUCCCCACUGCUGAGCCCAACCUCAGGAAUGAUAUCUUCCGUGUGCAGCAUUUUGGUUCCCCACCAUCCUCCAAGUGCUAUCAGUCUGUCUUGUUAAUGAGUACAAAUUCUGCGUUUAGCAACAAAACUGGUAAGCAAAAGAAAGCAGGAGAGCCCGGCUGCUCCAAGAUGAGAAAAACAUUACAUAAUGGUGCUGACACAUCAUUUGGUCAGAUUAGUCAUUCAGAACCCGAGCAACAGGUCAAAGGGGCAACGUUUUCAGAGACCACAUCUCCGAACUUGGCAGGGAUGCAGAGACUUUCAGGUUCAAGUGUAAUUGAAUCCAGUAAUGCAGAAGAAAUGCAGCUUUUAAAUGGUAAAUGGUACAAGAAGAAUGGGGUUUUGGGUAGGGCUUUGGAAGUCUGCACUGAAACAAUAAAAGGGGAUUUAUUACACCAAAUUCUUCAUGGGCCUUCAGAAGGGAUUUUGACCUGCACCCAGGAGGAGGUGUAUGCUCGUUUACUCCGGUGUGUCACUAAGCAACAAAUGGAAAUCAGUCGCGCCAAACGAACUCAGAAGCGUUUACAAAUGCUCCUGGCAAAACAUGUUAUCAAACACUGUGAUCAGCAGCUGAAAUGCUUUGUGAGACAUCAGCUUCAGAGAAUGAAGGUUUUCCAUGAGCCAACUAGAUUUUUGAGCAAUAGCUCCCUCAGAUGCACUGAAGGUUGGCCAGAAAACAACACAAGUACUUCAAAGCGUAGUUCAAGUGUGGACAUACAGAACGGAGUUAGUGUUGCACCAGGUGAAAUCCGUGGGUUUGCACUUUCUACUGGAGGGCUGCUGUCUCGUGUGGAAAAGGACCUGGACUCUGAUGCAACAUGUAGCAGCUCAGAUGAAGAUGGUGAGGAACAGACUGUAAGAACAACUGUGGAAGCCAGCUAUACUUCUGAAUCGAAGUGGCUUGCAGACAGAGCUAGAAUUGGCAGCCGUUGGACAUGGCUUCAAGCCCAGAUUUCAGAACUAGAAUACAAAAUUCAACAGCUAACUGACCUUCACAGGCGAAUACGUGCCACCAAGGGGAUGGUGGUCUUAGAAGAAUUCCCGUUUCCAAAAGACAUUUUGAAGAAGCAAAUACAAUUGACAGACCAAGAAGCUUUAUUAAGCGCCACAGGGAGUUUGCAAGCUGCCAUUGAGAGACAGGAUUCUUUGCCAGAGCACGACUUUGAAAUGUCACCCAGCAGUCCUACUCUGCUUUUACGAAACAUAGAAAAACAGAGUGCACAACUAAGUGAAAUCAUCAGCAGCCUAAUUGCUCCACUCAGUCUGUCUCCAGCUUCUUCAUCUCUUUCCUCCAAGACCUGUAGACACAGACAGUUGGUCAAUGGCAUCUCCUUCAGAGCUUCAGACAACAGAGAGGUAUCCUCUUCAGGUAGCUGGUUGCUUGAUCGUCAGCACAUCAAGAAAAGAAGAAGAGACAGGACAAGACUCAGAUCUGUCUCUGUGAAUAAUGUGAGCACAUCUGCCCGAACAAGGCCACUUCAUAGUUUCCAGAAGAGGAAGCUCUACAGAAUGCAUGGUGCCUGUCACUGGAAUCAGCAGACUUUGCCAUCUAGAGAUACCUCCUUUCCGUAUAAAACUCAGUUGCCAUAUGUGGUGCCAGCCUCCACUUUCAGCAGCAGUGAGUACAGCACAGAAUCUAAAAUCCUAGAUUAUGUGCAAGAGCUGGACUCUUCCUUCCAUCCAGUUUUAUCCUUCCCUUCGGAUAUUCCUCUUCACAUAUACUUUGAAACAUUAUUAAGGAAGGAUGACAUCAAAGGAGAACCUGCUGAUACCUCAUCUUUGGGAGGGGAGUUUAAAGUAUCUGCUGACAAUGACCAAAAUCCACAUGUUUCUGUCAAACAAUGGAGCAGUGGCUGUUUGUCUAAUUCCAAAUCUCAGUUGGUGUUAGGAACACCUGACCAGCUGUCAGAAGGAAGAAAGAAAAGGCAUCUAAGUGAGACAGCAGUAGGUGAAAGUAGCACUCAGUUUGAGACAUUCUCCUUCCACCAUGCAGAGCCUGAGUCCCACAACAGUUUUGCUUCCACGAGCAGUGUCAGUGCCAUGUCUCGGCCCACUCAUAGCACUUCAUCACAGCACAACUCCAGGAGGAGGUUGAGAAGUGAGAGCUCCUAUGAUAUAGACAACAUUGUUAUUCCCAUGUCCCUGGUAGCACCAUCAAAGUUGGAGAAACUACAGUACAAAGAAAUCCUUACUCCAAGCUGGAGAGUUGUUAAACUUCAACCUUUAGAAAAAUCACAAACAGAUGAAGAAGAGAUAGAAGACCUGUCAGACAAAGCUUUUUCCUUGCGUCACACAAAGUACGAAGAAAGAGAGCGUGCGAGGUGGUCACUCUGGGAGCAGAGCCGCUGGCCCAGGAGGAACAGCAGAUCUUACAGCAAAAAUGCUGAUGGUCGACACAGCCAGGACUCGGUGCAGAAAGACCAUUGCGCUGCUGACCCUGCUCCUGUCCCAACUUUGGAAGCCCACAGCUCUGUAUGUUCAGGGAUGGCACCACUCUGCAGGGAGAGCCAGGAAGAGAAGUCUGGGCUGUGGGAACUUCGAGUCUUUCCACUAAAAGAUGAAGAGGUAGAAGCUUUACUGUGCCAAGAUCAAGUAACAAAUCAGACUGAAGUGUCAACUGCAGCUUUCCCCAGUGACUCUCCCUGCACUCCAGGCACACCCACUGCAUUGCCAGACAAUGGCUAUCUGCCAAGAAAACAAUCUACCCAGGAGUCAGAAGACUGCAAAAGCGUUUGCCUGGGAAGCAACAGUACAAGAAAACAAAGGUGACAGGGAAUAAUGUGGUUCAUUAAGAAAGCCAAUUAAGGUGGAGAGAAGUGUAAGGCAGGAUAAAUCCCAAAGACAACACUUUCUUCUUCCUGAACCCCAAGAGAAAGUAAUUAUUUCAAGCUGGAAGUCUAAUAUUCCCAGUGUUGGGAGUGGGAGCACAUAAAUCGCUGGCACCAUUCACUUUCUGUUGUCAUAUUGCCACAUUUGUCAAUAAUCAUCCUUUACUGUUUGUUUGUUUUUAAAUGCAUAUCUGGUUCAAGUGGACUCUGGUGCACCAGGAGAUGCUGCCUACCUUAUCCAACAACUUCAGCUGAACACAGAAAAACUACUUGAAAAUAGUGGGGAUAAGUGAUAGCUUCAGAUUAUUUUCUUGUGUGGCAUGACCAUGGGGCAAAAACCUAACUGCAUGUGUAAGGUAAGGGUAGGUGAGAACCAGCAGUUCAAACCAGAGGAUCUGGAAGCCUCGCAUCUAGCUUAAGUUGUGUAGUCGGCUCUCAGUAGUGCCAGGGCAUGUUUCAUAUUGAUGUCCUCAAGCAAUAAGGUAGAAGUAGCCCGCUGCAUUGCCAUAGUCAAUGUAUCUCACACCUGGAAAGCAGUGUCUCUGCUUCGGGCCUGUGGGGAGGGAGAGACAUGAAGAAAGAGGGGUCAGGUCAAAUCAGUGACACACCCCAUGGAAUACUGUGCUUUGGCUCAUCUUACUUCCUUAGUCCUUGGGUAGCUAAUGAGGCUCAUAAUACUUUGCUUUAAUAUGUUAAAGUCUUGUUCCAAUUUCUGUACAGUGCCUUGUAAGAGUCUAGUAAGUAUGCCAACAUUUGGUGACUAGCUGGAAAGGAAAAGAUGACUGAUGUCUUGAAGAGCAAUAAAAAAAAAGCCCCAAAGCUUUCCAUUGUGAUUCUGGAUAGAUUUUUCAUUUCCCAGUGUAUUCACAGUGAGAAAACAAAAGCAAGUUGUUUAAACUUGCACCUAAUAGCAUAGCUUGGAAUGUAUCUGCAAUCCCAAGAGGUAUUAACAGAGAUUAAACAUUGAAUGUACAUAUAAUCCAUCAACAGGCAGUUUUUCUGUGUAGGACAGUUGAAGGCAAUUUAAUAGGAGUCUCUGUUUUUUGUGCAGUUUUCUUCCAUGUGUAAUAUCUGGAAUGGCACUGGACAGAUGACCCAGCUUUAGUGUCAAUUUAUUUUUUUGGUCAAAAUGACAGGAAAUACACACAGGCCAUAUGAAAACAGUUCAGUAAAGUUUCAACACUACGACCUAUUGCUACAUUGUAGUUUAUUGCACAUUCUGAUUAUUUUUUAAAAUACUUUUUUAACACUGGUUUGUCUUAAACUUGAAUCUUGCCUCAAUGUCUGAUACAAUCUCUGAUGCAAGGUUGGUUUUUUAAUUAAAAGUUAUUUCUAUA